This 568-nucleotide ribosomal RNA is filed under the name uncultured marine bacterium. Its description in RNAcentral is "bacterial SSU rRNA". It matches the Rfam family "Bacterial small subunit ribosomal RNA", at positions 55 to 666 of the family's 1533-position model. The record is from RNAcentral.
AUGCAAGUCGAACGAAGUAGCAAUACUUAGUGGCAGACGGGUGAGUAACAUGUAGGUAUCUUCCCUAUGGUGAGGAAUAACACGAGGAAACUUGUGCUAAUACCUCAAAAGUCUUUACGGAGAAAGCUUUAUGCGCCAUUGGAUGAGCCUGCACUUGAUUAGUUUGUUGGUGGGGUAAUGGCCUACCAAGACUAUGAUCAAUAGCCGAUUUGAGAGGAUGAUCAGCCACAUUGGGACUGAGACACGGCCCAAACUCCUACGGGAGGCAGCAGUAGGGAAUCUUGCACAAUGGGGGAAACCCUGAUGCAGCGAUGCCGCGUGAGUGAAGAAGGCCUUUGGGUUGUAAAGCUCUUUCGUCGGGGAAGAAAAUGACUGUACCCGAAUAAGAAGGUCCGGCUAACUUCGUGCCAGCAGCCGCGGUAAUACGAAGGGACCUAGCGUAGUUCGGAAUUACUGGGCUUAAAGAGUUCGUAGGUGGUUAAAAAAAGUUGGUGGUGAAAUCCCAGAGCUUAACUCUGGAACUGCCAUCAAAACUUUUUAGCUAGAGUAUGAUAGAGGAAAAGCAGAA